RNAcentral lists this ribosomal RNA (293 nucleotides) under uncultured bacterium. RNAcentral's name for it is "partial 16S ribosomal RNA". It matches the Rfam family "Archaeal small subunit ribosomal RNA", at positions 455 to 747 of the family's 1478-position model. The record is from RNAcentral.
GUGCCAACCGCCGCGGUAAUACCGGCAGCUCGAGUGAUGGCCGAUCUUAUUGGGCCUAAAGCGUCCGUAGCUGGCCUCGCAAGUCCGUCGGGAAAUCCAGUAGCCCAACUACUGGGCGUCCGGCGGAAACUACAAGGCUUGGGACCGGAAGGCUCGGAGGGUACGUCCGGGGUAGGAGUGAAAUCCCGUAAUCCCGAACGGACCACCGAUGGCGAAAGCACUCUGAGAAGACGGCUUCGACAGUGAGGGACGAAAGCUAGGGUCUCAAACCGGAUUAGAAACCCGUGUAGUCC